Molecule: non-coding RNA, 93 nt
Filed under: Rhodopseudomonas palustris BisB18
Lineage: Bacteria; Pseudomonadati; Pseudomonadota; Alphaproteobacteria; Hyphomicrobiales; Nitrobacteraceae
Description: gcvT element as predicted by Rfam
Rfam family: Glycine riboswitch aptamer
About the family: This family represents the bacterial glycine riboswitch. Glycine riboswitches usually consist of two metabolite-binding aptamers domains with similar structures in tandem.
Source: RNAcentral
GACAUCUGGAAAGAGAUUGCGCCGAAUCAUCGCGAUUCCGGCGAAAUCCGCCGACGGGAUAAUGCUCUCAGGCACAGCGACAGAUGGGGCUCG